GACGAACGCUGGCGGCGUGCUUAACACAUGCAAGUCGAACGGAAAGGCCCUGCUUUUGUGGGGUGCUCGAGUGGCGAACGGGUGAGUAACACGUGAGUAACCUGCCCUUGACUUUGGGAUAACUUCAGGAAACUGGGGCUAAUACCGGAUAGGAGCUCCUGCUGCAUGGUGGGGGUUGGAAAGUUUCGGCGGUUGGGGAUGGACUCGCGGCUUAUCAGCUUGUUGGUGGGGUAGUGGCUUACCAAGGCUUUGACGGGUAGCCGGCCUGAGAGGGUGACCGGCCACAUUGGGACUGAGAUACGGCCCAGACUCCGACGGGAGGCAGCAGUGGGGAAUAUUGCACAAUGGGCGGAAGCCUGAUGCAGCAACGCCGCGGGCGGGAUGACGGCCUUCGGGUUGUAAACCGCUUUCGCCUGUGACGAAGCGUGAGUGACGGUAAUGGGUAAAGAAGCACCGGCUAACUACGUGC
Molecule: ribosomal RNA, 469 nt
Filed under: uncultured bacterium
Lineage: Bacteria
Description: partial 16S ribosomal RNA
Rfam family: Bacterial small subunit ribosomal RNA
Source: RNAcentral